AAAUCUUCUCCAAAUUGAUGUGAUUAUUAAAUGCUCUUGUUGUAGCCUGCUGAAGCCUUUGAGAGAGCCUGGAGAGUCCAUGCAAAAAGACUUGAGGGAAUGAUGGGACCUACAAAAAAAACACUCAUUUCAUUUGAGAUGGGAAAAAAAAGAGAAACCUACAGGUGGAGCAGAGAAAGUAAUCCAGAGGAUUACAGUGGUAGAGAAGCAGUGCCCUGCCUGAUUUUGGUGAUGCAACAGGCGCCGGUGAAGAUAACAUUGCUUUGGUAGAGAGCUGAUUUUCAAAUAUUACCUACAGGACAAAUCCUAUUGAAGAGGCUAAAUUUUCCCAGACAGCUGGUAAGUAAUCUUUUAUCAUUUCCAUCUUGAUCUUUGCUGCCUGAAGAAAGAACAUUUCAUCUGGUGU
RNAcentral lists this long non-coding RNA (406 nucleotides) under Zonotrichia albicollis (white-throated sparrow). Its description in RNAcentral is "lncRNA (ENSZALG00000013101.1)". Lineage: Eukaryota; Metazoa; Chordata; Aves; Passeriformes; Passerellidae. The record is from RNAcentral.